This 709-nucleotide long non-coding RNA is filed under the name Capsella rubella. RNAcentral describes it as "long non-coding RNA (CRUB_LNC000643)". The record is from RNAcentral. Lineage: Eukaryota; Viridiplantae; Streptophyta; Magnoliopsida; Brassicales; Brassicaceae.
CAGCUUACAACCACUAAGUAAGAGGAUUUAGAAAAUUCACCUUUGAUUUUGCCUUUUUAGCUGCAGAAAACAAAGCUAAAGGAGGUGCACUACACUGAGCCACAGUGACUUGAUCCUCAAUCUGAGGUAGUUUAUCAUUACAAAGUCUUUUCCUUGCCGCUGAGCUUGCCUUAAGCCUAGUAGCAUUUCUUUUUUUUUUGAGCUAGCACCUUGAAGCAGACUCCUAUUUCCCCUCGGUUUUGCCGACCUAAGGAGCUUUCUUUUGGUUGUGGCUCUGGUUCUAGGAGGGUGCUCCUGGAUGGUGAUUGUGACUUGUUGUUGUUCUUGGGUUAAUCUGUGAGAAACAGAACUUCUUGCCUCCUCCCUCAGCUGGUCUUGAUGCAAAGACAGAUGAUGACUAAGUGUGGGGUGGAUAGGAGAAGAGUUUAGAUACGAUGACCAAGAUCACGAGCUCCGUUAUUAGGUCUGUAGUUGAUAUCCUUAACAUUAGCUCUAAAGCUAGGCCUAUCUCUUCGAUACUCCUACCUAGCAUGGGGUCGGCUUGUUGAUCUAACAUGAGUAGAAGUCAUGUGAUACUGGCGAGGAGACGACCUCCUCACAUGUCUCUAGUCUGAAUUGACCGGGUGUGUAGUGAUCCGACUCUCGUGCUUUCUCUUUAGACAAGAAAUAUACUACUUCCAAGUAAUGUAUGUGGGUUCUUAACCAAUUU